Molecule: long non-coding RNA, 224 nt
Filed under: Hordeum vulgare
Lineage: Eukaryota; Viridiplantae; Streptophyta; Magnoliopsida; Poales; Poaceae
Description: long non-coding RNA (HVUL_LNC008988)
Source: RNAcentral
GUAGAUUGAUAAUGAUAAAGGGAUGGUAAAAUACAAUGGUUACAAUACUAAUUUUGGAAGGCAAAUUACAGUGCUAGAGUCUGUAGUAGUCUGCUAGAUGGCAAAUGCUAAAGCGGAAAUAUGUGAGUAAUAGUAGUAGUUGACAGAGAUUGUGAAGUACAGUAGUUGGCUACCUCGAGUACAUCUUGAUGCAAGUUUGCAACUGAAAUAGGUUAUGAGAGGGU